This 424-nucleotide ribosomal RNA is filed under the name uncultured bacterium. RNAcentral's name for it is "partial 16S ribosomal RNA". It matches the Rfam family "Bacterial small subunit ribosomal RNA", at positions 359 to 774 of the family's 1533-position model. The record is from RNAcentral.
GAAUAUUGGACAAUGGGGGGAACCCUGAUCCAGCCAUGCCGCGUGUGUGAAGAAGGCCUUUUGGUUGUAAAGCACUUUAAGCGAGGAGGAGGAGCUCUUGGUUAAUACCCAAGCUUCUUGAACGUUACUCCCAAAUAAAGCCCCGGCUAACUCUGUGCCCGCAGCCGCGGUAAUACAUAGGGUGCAAGCGUUAAUCGGAUUUACUGGGCGUAAAGCGCGCGUAGUGGGCCAAUUAAGUCAAAUGUGAAAUCCCCGAGCUUAACUUGGGAAUUGCAUGCGAUAGUGGUUGGCUAGAGUAUGGGAGAGGAUGGUAGAAUUCCAGGUGUAGCGGUGAAAUGCGUAGAGAUCUGGAGGAAUACCGAUGGCGAAGGCAGCCAUCUGGCCUAAUACUGACACUGAGGUGCGAAAGCAUGGGGAGCAAACA